Molecule: long non-coding RNA, 1833 nt
Organism: Acanthopagrus latus (yellowfin seabream)
Lineage: Eukaryota; Metazoa; Chordata; Actinopteri; Spariformes; Sparidae
Exons: 3
Source: RefSeq, a predicted model, not a curated record
AUGCACCCUGGGAUUUUUUAUGGUUGUGUGCAUGGAUUGAUACUGGAGCAGCUGACAGAUAUAGAAGGAUACAACAUGUAAAUUCUGCUGCGAGGGGGCCCUAUAUCAAGACAUAAACAGUUGCCAAAUGUUGUGUGACUCAAGUCAGUUAGGAUUCUGCUCUGAUCUGGAGACAGUUUCCGAUGUGAGGAGAGCUCAGAGAUUACUUUUAAACUUUAGGUAUUGAAAAGUGGAUUUAUCCUCACUCCUGACUGCCACAGCGACCUGCAGAGGUGACCCGCAUUGUUAGGUGUUUAUGUUCUGUAAUGUUGACUGCUGACUGGCGCUGGAGGGGAAAUGUAAUUUAACUUAUGACUGUCAUACUACUGAGAGAAAAGGGGAAAAGAUGAGGGAGAACCAGAGUGCAUGGUGAGUGCUGACUCUGUUCAUGCUGUCGCUGGCAGCUAACAUACAGUGAAGUAAACUGGCUGUUUAGGCCGAAUUAUCACUGUGUGAGUUACUCAUAUACACAACACAAAUGAUCGCUUCACUUGUGGUGGAUAUACCCAGUGUUUCCCAUUAAUUACUUAGACUCUGGCGGCCCGCCAUGGUCUAAUUUAUUCCGCCACAGUCUCAGAGUGAACAGAAAAAAAUCUUACACUUCUCAUAAUAACAUAAAAGAUCUGUAACAUGUGUUUCGCGCUGCGGCUUUGGCAAAGGAUCUCUCACUCUCUGUCUGUCGGCUCUGCCUCGCUCUGCCCCCACCCCGCUGUACAUGGUGCGCGCACACUCACUUACACACGCACGCAUCACGCAGGCACGUACGCACUGGAAUACAUCGCGUUACCUUACGGCAUUGUGAAGCAGAAGUGAAGACGACGUGAAGAAGGCAUUUUAGGACACCACAUCGUUUGAGGACAAGAACCAGGCUGAAAUAAUGACCCUGCUAGCCAGUGAGUGCGAUGAAUGGGGACAGAUAUACCCAUUACUCAGCCGAUUGGCAGCAAUUGCACUUGUCAUUCCGGUGUCAAGUGUCAACUGUGAGAGAGACUUCUCCACCAUGAACAGGGUCAAAUCAGAGCUUUGCAACAGGCUGCAAGGAGAGCACCUGGCUGCCUGCCUGAGGGUCUCCAUCAAUGGGCCGUGUCCAGAGAAAUUUAAUUACCAAAGGGCAUAAGAAGUGUUUUUUUCAAAACCCAGGAAAAUUCAAUGUCCAAAUUCAGGGUGCAAAGUUUGCAAAUAGGAGUGUUGUAUAAAUGUGUAUUUUGGAUGUUUUCUUUCAACUAGUCUGAAAGAAGACAAGUUAUGGAAGCAAAAGAGGCCAAAAUGUUUUUGCCUGCCAAAAUGUUGAUGUACCCUCCGAAUCCAUUUUAUUUUUUAUUACAAUUUAGCUUACAGUUUAAUUAUUUAUUAUUUUAUCUGGUAAAGGUAAACACUUUUGCUUUAUUUCUUUGAUGGCUCAGAUGUAUGCGAUAUUUGAUUUUGUGUUUUCACUAUUAGUAUCUAUACAACCAAUGUGUUUGUGAUUAAAUUGUGUACAAGAGCACACAGUUCCUCAUAGAUCUAGCCUCUUAAUUUUGCUUUCAAAGUGCACCAGAUUGAUGCAUUCAACUUUAAAAUGGUAAAAAAAAAUCUUCCGGGGGAGCAUGCCCCCGGACCCCCUUAGAGGGUCCAACAUUCACCCACCAUAGUCUCAUUAAAUCCUGUGGGAAACACUGAUAUACCAUUAAACUACCACCACUGUUAAAAUGUUCACAGAUGCGCUAAUGUUUUAUUCAUGUUUAGUCUCUCUCGUGGAGGUAGUGAUGGAUUUCUCUGGGUUUGAACAUGGUUGGAAACACGAUUCCCAUCACA